AUGCGUGGAUGGCGUCCCACCCUCGGCCAGCCGAGAGGAGCAACGAGCCUGGCAGCACAGAGCGCAGAGAGGCAGGCGUGGGGGGCACAGGCGCUGGGACCCCAAAGGUGGGUGCAGGAAGGCGCGUCGGGCCGGGCCGUCACCCAGGGUUGCCCGCCUUUACUAACCGAUGACGAAAAGCAGGGGACACUGGGGACACUGGCUGAGUGUGCCUGUGGUGGUCUUCCCAGCGGCAUGGCAGGCUCCUGGGGAAGGGGCUCACCCACACCCCAUAAACCACGGGCCCUCAGGAGCAGCCCUGCUUCUGUGAGAUCCAGGGAAGGGCCUGGUGGUUAUUUUCUUCUUUGUCCUGACUGUAUUGCCCAGACGGUGCCCCUUGGUGUGCUCAGGCCUCAGGGCUCAAUCUGGCCUGGCAGGGCCCCACACAGGCAGGGGGCUUCUUGUCCCGGCACCAAAAUGUCCGGUGCUCUGGGGGCCCCAGUGCCCAGUCCCAGUCCUCAGUGGGGCUCUGUGGCGGUGUCCCCGGCAGAUCUGGAGGUGCUGGGUUCCCCCUGCGCCUGCCAGCCCCACCAUGCAGGCAUCACCGGUGUCUUUGAGCAUGCAGGGCUCGGCACCCAGCCAGCACAGUGGCUCUGCAGGGCGGCUGCAACCAAAAUAUUCAGAGGUGAGGGGGCAGAGCAGGUAGAUCAAAACUGGGGGAAUUCCUAUCUGCCAGGUGUCUUGCAGGCAGGCUCUAUUUUCUUUGUCAUACUGGAAAACUCUUCCCAAAAAGCAAAGGGCCAGGUGCAGUGCUGGGAAUGGCACGAGAGUGUGCAGGGCCCUGGCACUGCCUCUGCCAUGCAGUCCUCCCCAGCACGAUGGCCCACAGCCUCCGCACAGGCUCCUUCCCCGGGCAGAGCUGCGUGCUUGCCGCAUCCUCGCCAGCCGGCGAGGCCCUGCCCGCCUCCAGCUCCCACACUGAACAAGUCACAGAAGAAGCCAGGCAUGUUCCCAGUUGAAUUUCCAGGUUUAGCAUUUAAGGACUUGAAUUUCAGCCGUAAAUCUCACUUGUAA
This 1053-nucleotide long non-coding RNA is filed under the name Anser cygnoides (Swan goose). RNAcentral describes it as "lncRNA (ENSACDG00005005980.1)". Lineage: Eukaryota; Metazoa; Chordata; Aves; Anseriformes; Anatidae. The record is from RNAcentral.